AAUGUGACACUGAGCUGGGUAGUGGGUGGUUACUUCACAAAGGAAACAAGUCACCUGACUACUUGGGCACUCCUCAGCUGGGUGAUUUUAUUCACAAUAAGUGCAUCCAUCCUUGUGUUCUUCCUGGGUGUGUCCUAUUUCUCCACAGAUCUUGCAUGCACAAGUCCUCUCCUUCGGAUUAUCAUAGCACUUCUGAAUAAGUCGGGAUCUUAACAGAGUGUUCUUGAAUUUGUCCCAAGUUUCCCCUCCACUAAAUCCUUGUAUGGCAUGGUGCAUUUUCCACCAGAUAGCAGCACUUUAGGUAAAGUACUGGAGAGCGUGUUCCACUUCAUACUUCCUUGAGAUCAAGUUACUCCCGAAGUGGUUCUCCAUGUUUUGAAUCCAUAUCUCAGCUUCCAGCUGGGUCAUUGGUCCAGAGACUACAAGUCCAGCUUCAUACUC
RNAcentral lists this long non-coding RNA (441 nucleotides) under Hordeum vulgare. RNAcentral's name for it is "long non-coding RNA (HVUL_LNC010129)". The record is from RNAcentral. Lineage: Eukaryota; Viridiplantae; Streptophyta; Magnoliopsida; Poales; Poaceae.